Molecule: non-coding RNA, 152 nt
Organism: Parasteatoda tepidariorum (common house spider)
Lineage: Eukaryota; Metazoa; Arthropoda; Arachnida; Araneae; Theridiidae
Source: RefSeq, a predicted model, not a curated record
GCAGGUAUUUCAUAGAAUACCUAGUUAUUCCAUGAAAUAACUGAUCAUGUCAGUUAAAGUGUGUAAUAUGUUAUUAAUUUGACACUUUAACUAGUUAUUCUAUGAAAUAACUAGGUAUUCUAUAAAUUAACUAAUGAGAGACAGUUAAAGUG